Molecule: long non-coding RNA, 849 nt
Filed under: Bemisia tabaci
Lineage: Eukaryota; Metazoa; Arthropoda; Insecta; Hemiptera; Aleyrodidae
Description: lncRNA ENSSSA2NGG003536
Source: RNAcentral
GUUAUCCGGACGCACUCCGCUCCUCUGAGUUUUUCUCUUUUUCCCUCGGUUUUUUUCGUGUGUUGCCCCGGUUUUUUUCUCUCCGUCUCUCGCCCCCCCUCGCCACGCGUCUUGGGGUUUUUUGCCCGGGCAGCGCCGCAAAUGCGUGAAGGAGGAGAGCUCCGACCCUGCCAAGACGCGAUCAAUCGGCUGCAGGGACAGGGACAGGGGUGCUCUUUGCUCCACUCGGCAACCUUAUUUAAUACGGUUUUCUCUUAAGCAUAAGCUGCUCCUGUAACAGGCUUAAGUCUUGUUUUAUCUCGACGAGUAUUAAGGCUUACGCGAGUGUUAGUGCGUGCGAGGGAGACGGCCUCUUCCGUGCUCGGCGGUGCGAGUGAGACGCGCGCCGCCUAAUCCGCCAUGUGUGCCACUGCCUCCGUUCUAGUGUUAAUAUCAACAAUGCAAACUCAUUGAAAAGUGUCGCUAUGUGCCUUUUAAGAAUGUUACGCGUGCUAAUCAGUGAAUCCUUUUUAUCUGCCUGAUUCCCAUCCGGACGUCCGACACCACUAAACUCAAAACCAGCCUCUCCUGGCUCUCCAUGUGGCCAAAUAGCCUUGCAGCUGGGUGCAAUGCAGAUGGUGAGCUGGCUUUCCCGCCGUUCAGCAGCGGGCUGCAGCAGUGCGGGAGCUCGGUCGGAGCCGCCGUCGGCGUCGGUGUGGGCGUCGGCAUGGCCUCCUACAUCAAACCUUACUCCGUCAACAGCAUCGUUGACUCCUUCCACGCUACACAGCAGGUCAGUGUCACACACACUGCUUCCCUCAAUUCUCAAGUACGAACUUAUUCACACUCAAUGUUUUUUUUGCCCCAGAG